CAAAUUGAAAGUUUGUAAUUUAUGUUACUAUGGAUGUCCAUUAAUUAACUAUAAUGCUACUUUAUAACAUUUUUUAAAAGUAAAAAAAAAUUUAUUCAUUCCAAAUAGAAGACUGAGGGUAAUACCUGUGUAAGAACUUCUAAAAAUGUCUCCAAUUAGAAAUUUUAUUUAUGUAAAUUAUGGACCCAAUAUAUUUGCAAUAAUUUAAGAUAGUGAAAAUGUCCUAAAUAUUAACAGUUGAAAUCAUAGUGUUAAAUACUUCUUCUCACUGCUGCAGCCUUUCUCUUAAUGUAUACUGCUGAUAUGUUAGGAAAAUCAUAGCAUAAUAAAUAGAAUAAGAAUUUUCAAUAUACUGUAAAAUACUGUUAUAUUUUCUAUAAAAUAUAUAAUAAAAACAAUAAUGUUAGCAUGAAAAGCAGCAUUUCACAGCAUGAAUUUAGUGUUUUAUGAAGUUAAAUUGUUUAAUUGGUUAAAUUUGGAUGUAUGCCUCAGAGUAAAUUUUUUAAAAUAUUACUCUUAAAAAUAAUGUGAACCUUCAGAAAUGUCCUCUCUUUUAUUCUAUAACUUUUAAAGUAUAAACUAUUUACCUAUUCAUUAUUUUGUUAUCAAUCUGUAAUAGUCAUUUAGGAGACUAUCAUAGCCUUCACUCUAUUGAUGUAUUUUAAACCUGCUUUAAAGUUUAGAUAUAACAUAGCAGCACAGGACUAAUUUAAGAUUAGAUACGGGUAUCUUUCUGAAUGUUGUUUUAGUUUGCCCAAUGGGAAAACAGAAAUUCCUCAGCUUAAUCCUGCUAAUUAGCUUUUGGCAAACACAGCUACAAACAGUUUAAAAAUCCUAUCUCACUUUAGUUUAGGAAGGUUUAACAAAACAUGCUGAUAGCUGUAGCUUGCCUUUACUGUUAUAAUUAUCCUUCUAACUCAUUAUUGACAUGGCUUCCAUCCUGCAAAGUGGGACAUGGAGAAAAGGGGAUGAGCAGGUUUGGACACAGAGAAGGGGAGCAAAACACUUGGAAAAGAAGACAGAGCUGCAGUGCCAUCGGAUCAACUUUUCCAUCUGGCCCAAUUUGGCAACAAUGUGAGUGUCUCUGCUGUGCCAAAAUAUGACUAAAAAUUAAACAGGAACUUUUUGGAGCUAAAUUUUGGGCAGACCAAAAUGAUCCUAGAUGAGAAUGACACAGUGUAUUUCUAAUUAAUGUAAACUCACUAUUGGUUAAGAUUUUGUUUCCAAAGCUUUAUAAAAAUAACUCAGUCUGUUGCUAAGGGGUUUGCAAUUUCAACAAUACCUACAAUCUUAAGUGAAUAUCAUGCUUAUGAUAAAAUAGUUUAAG
This 1327-nucleotide long non-coding RNA is filed under the name Oryctolagus cuniculus (rabbit). RNAcentral's name for it is "lncRNA (ENSOCUG00000038739.1)". Lineage: Eukaryota; Metazoa; Chordata; Mammalia; Lagomorpha; Leporidae. The record is from RNAcentral.